This is a long non-coding RNA of Tripterygium wilfordii, 1089 nucleotides long. RefSeq lists it as uncharacterized. The record is from RefSeq and is a predicted model, not a curated record. NCBI's taxonomy places the organism in Eukaryota, Viridiplantae, Streptophyta, Magnoliopsida, Celastrales, Celastraceae. The transcript has 3 exons.
CCCCUACCUAGCGCAAAUUCUCCCUUCAGAGACCCUACUUCUUCUCUAGCUACCUUAGUCUUUUUUGAGUCCUCUGGCUGCGGCUUCAUUGUUCAUGGCCCUCUCUGCCAUUUCUUCGAACACAACCUUGGAGUCCCCAUCUUCGCUACUGAAAAAGACUCUUACUUUCUUCGCUCACUAGAAUCACAGUUUUUCAAAUACUGCUCGGCCGUUAGUGGACAUGAAUUACGAAAGUAAACCUAAACCACAACACUGCACCUGAUAAUGCAAAAGAUACUGUCUUGGAAACCCAUGAUGGGAAAGGCAUAAGGUGCAUGAAUUACAAUGACAUUGCUGUCACUGGCAUGGAGGCUCCAGAUAUAAUUUGAUUUUUCCAGUUUUGAUUAGACAAGGUUGGCUGAAAGUGAUGACCCAGAUGCGAUUGAGCAUUCAAGUUUGUUUGGCGAAACUGUUUCCGAGGUCCGAGAGGUGUUUUGAACUGAGUGAAGGUGAAGUGGAAUCGCAAUUUUUUUGCGCCAGUGAUUUGGCUUCUUAUGAUGCUUUUAAUAGCCUGUUUCAGAUGAGGAAGAAGAAGUUGACGAGUCAUUGACGAAACUUUAUACAUCCUCUGGAGUGGCACCAUAAAUGGGCGGAACUGAAAAUUAAGGAAACUGAGUAUUAAUCACAAAAAUAUGAAAGAGAGCUUGCAGCAUGUGAGCUGAGAAGGCAGGCAACCUGAAGUUCAAUCUACACUUGGAAUAUUUUGCUUCAAAGGCACUACCAUUUUCAACUCAUUCUCAAAAUAGGAAGGCCAUAAAGAGGAGGAAACAAAAGAGAGUUAAAGAUACAAGUGAUAUGAAAUCAUACUCUGCACAUCAUAACCUUUUCUCUUGCCUUGAAAACAAGAGGAUGAAUCGUGAUGGUGCUCUUGCAGCUGAUGAUUUUGGUGCUACAGGUGACAAUUUACACCGAUUAUUUGUCUUCCUUUAUGCCAAGUCAAGUUGCUUAUAUCAAACACUCUCACGUCCUAAGGAUUGUCAUUUCACUUUCUUGUUCUGAAAGCUUGGUUGUUUCAUGAAUCAAUAACAUAGCUGUAGAUUUGGAACUGAA